UCUCCGUUGGUGAACCAGCGGAGGGAUCAUUACUGAGUUUACGCUCUACAACCCUUUGUGAACAUACCUACAACUGUUGCUUCGGCGGGUAGGGUCUCCGUGACCCUCCCGGCCUCCCGCCCCCGGGCGGGUCGGCGCCCGCCGGAGGAUAACCAAACUCUGAUUUAACGACGUUUCUUCUGAGUGGUACAAGCAAAUAAUCAAAACUUUUAACAACGGAUCUCUUGGUUCUGGCAUCGAUGAAGAACGCAGC
RNAcentral lists this unclassified non-coding RNA (253 nucleotides) under uncultured fungus. RNAcentral describes it as "sequence contains ITS1, 5.8S rRNA gene". The stretch from base 205 to 253 matches the Rfam family "5.8S ribosomal RNA", at positions 1 to 49 of the family's 154-position model. Lineage: Eukaryota; Fungi. The record is from RNAcentral.